GGCGAGAGGGUGAGGGAUGUGCCCCACUCCAGUCCUCUAACUAAUGGGGGAGGGUGGCAGUAGUCGCUAGUCACCCCAUCCAGCCCAGUCCUCAGUGAGCGCCGGGCCCCUCCACCUUGCUCCAUGAGGCUGCAGAGAGGGUGAAGCUCUGCGACCAGGAUGCUCUCCAUACCUCGCAAUUCAGUUCCCCCUGCCCAGACGAAGGGGGUAGAGUGGGUGGCCCAGGGCUCUGAGGGACCAACAGCCCUAGGAAGGGUCACAGGGGUGAGGGGCGGGGCAAAGGUGAGAGGCGGGGCCAGGCCACAUAGAGUCUGUUUGGGGGCGGGGCAGAGACCCACCAGUCAGUGGGUGGAGGGGCAGAUGCUGAUGGGGAGCUGUGCUGAGCAGGCGUGAGGUGUAAAGCCCUGGGCAAGGGCCAGGACAAGGGAGUGGCAGGGGCACCACAGCGGAGUCGCUGGGCACAGGCUCCGCCAUCAGUGCUGCAGAACCCAUGGGAACCGGAAACUGUGAGAGCUCCCAGGCCUGCUUCAGUCAGGAACAGAACUCCAGGCCCGCACUGACAGACGAACGCAGGCCGCGGGGCAGAGCAGGCUGGCUCCAGACCAAGGAACACGGUCAAGGUGCAGAGCCCACAAAAUGGCUCACCUGUGUCACAGAAGCUGGGGGACAGGACUGGGCCUUGACCCCAGGAAGCCCCGGACCCACAUGCCUCACAGGCACUCCAAGGUCAUGGCCAACUUCAUGCCCAAAACUGCUUUCCAGUGGCUCCCAGACAAGACUGCAGGCAGGCAGUUCUCCUGGGCCUGCCCUGGGCCCCAACUGCUCUCCUCAGCCUCAGAAGUACCCCUGGAACACGAAACCUACCAUGCCCCUGCCCUGCCACCCAGACCCCAGGCCUGCAGGUGUGGGUUCAGGUGCCAGUAAGCACCCCCCAACCCUGCUCCCUGGGGAUGCCUGA
This 958-nucleotide long non-coding RNA is filed under the name Fukomys damarensis (Damara mole-rat). RNAcentral's name for it is "lncRNA (ENSFDAG00000031883.1)". The record is from RNAcentral. Lineage: Eukaryota; Metazoa; Chordata; Mammalia; Rodentia; Bathyergidae.